This 1134-nucleotide long non-coding RNA is filed under the name Helianthus annuus (common sunflower). The record is from RNAcentral. Lineage: Eukaryota; Viridiplantae; Streptophyta; Magnoliopsida; Asterales; Asteraceae.
UCUCUCUCUUGUGUGUUCAAUCCUUCAUCUACCUAACCCUAAUCACUAUCCCAUUCCAUCUGCUACAUAUUUUGCUUCUAUUAUACAAAAUAAUACAGUCAACAAGCACUGCUCUCCGUUCACUCACACCGUUUGAUUCAUCGGCUAAAACAUCUCAUGACGGAAAGACCACUGAUGAGGAUCAUCGUUGUUGUUGAUGUUAGGUUUAGCGAAGGAUUGCCGCCGAUCCUUACGGCAUUGAAGGUUUUAUUAACUCGAUGAGUGCUUGGAGUUGAUUUCGAAGUCGAUUAAGAACUCUAAGGUGUUGGUGUUAUCUUCUUGUGAGGGUUUCUGAUGGACUUGCUACUAUUGUCACCAAUUGCAGGACUCUGAAUCUAUAUAUUUAUCCAGCAUUCGGCAGUGCAAAGGCAUGUGAGCAGCAUAGAAGAUGUUCACUUGAAAGACAACAGUAGCAUCUUUGCAUAUUUAACUUCACUAAUAUGCACGGCUACUUACUGUUGAAUUCCAAACGCAGUGGACGGGAUAGAGGUUGUAGGGAAGGCUGCUCAGGUUGAGUAUUUUGACUCCAUUAUACAGUUUCAAUCAUGUUACAAGGUAUCUUCUACUUCUAAUUAUUGCUUAUGUUAAUUCUGUACCUGUACCUGUAACUGAAUUCUUAACCAUUCAGACUCAGUAUAAUGCUUAACCAAUUUUAAUGAGCGGUUAGGAUUCCGACAUUUGAAUCCUCCUAUCGACGAUGGUGAAGGUAUGGAAUUUAUAUUUUCUAAUAAACAUGUCUUGAAUUAUAAUAGAUUAUAUACAUUUACAAGCAAGAUCACGUUGAAUAGAUUAAGCUUUGUAUUCAUUUGACAAGAGAGAUUGAGUGUUUCUGAUGACAAAUUCAACCUGAUUGGUGUCUGAGUUGAGGGAUUGAUUGGAGGACUCAAGUUACUGAACUCUCUUGGCAACCAAGGUCAAGCACUUCGAUCCAUAAAAUAAUGCUUUUUAUUUUGGGUGUAGAAAAUAUUGAAUUCGUUAAUCUAUGCUAAACUUUUGAAUGUUUUUUAUCAACAUAAAAUAUUUGUGUGUGGAAGAAAUGGUUCAGAGAUGCUAUUGACAAACAUGAUGUUUUUAUGGACAGGGUAUUUUUGUACA